UAGGGAAUCUUCCGCAAUGGACGCAAGUCUGACGGAGCAACGCCGCGUGAGUGAAGAAGGAUUUCGGUUCGUAAAACUCUGUUGUUAGAGAAGAACAGCGCAUAGAGUAACUGUUAUGCGUGUGACGGUAUCUAACCAGAAAGCCACGGCUAACUACGUGCCAGCAGCCGCGGUAAUACGUAGGUGGCAAGCGUUGUCCGGAUUUAUUGGGCGUAAAGCGAGCGCAGGCGGUCAAUUAAGUCUAAUGUGAAAGCCCCCGGCUCAACCGGGGAGGGUCAUUGGAAACUGGUUGACUUGAGUGCAGAAGAGGAGAGUGGAAAUCCAUGUGGAGCGGUGAAAUGCGUAGAUAUAUGGAGGAACACCAGUGGCGAAGGGGACUCUCUGGUAUGUAACUGACGAUGAGGCUCGAAAGCGUGGGUAGCAAACAGG
RNAcentral lists this ribosomal RNA (429 nucleotides) under Bacteroidota bacterium. RNAcentral describes it as "Bacteroidetes bacterium partial 16S ribosomal RNA". It matches the Rfam family "Bacterial small subunit ribosomal RNA", at positions 355 to 776 of the family's 1533-position model. The record is from RNAcentral. Lineage: Bacteria; Pseudomonadati; Bacteroidota.